RNAcentral lists this long non-coding RNA (1338 nucleotides) under Gouania willdenowi (blunt-snouted clingfish). Its description in RNAcentral is "lncRNA (ENSGWIG00000007794.1)". The record is from RNAcentral. Lineage: Eukaryota; Metazoa; Chordata; Actinopteri; Blenniiformes; Gobiesocidae.
CUCCGUGUAUCGUCUCACCUCUAUGAACCAUCAAACAAACUGUGAUUUCCACCAAUCUGUAAUUUAACUUUUACUGUUUUCACUUUUAACUUCUUACUGGUUUUUGCUUGUUUCGUUGCGACUUCCAGUAUCAAGAUAUGUGGCUUUGUGAAGUUUGCAGGUUCUUCUCAUGCUUAAGAGAAUUUUCUCCAGGUACUCUGGGUCUUUUAUAGCUCACGUGUGUGUGUGUGUGUGUGUGUGUGUGUGUCCUUGGUGACGACAGACGUGCAGCAGGUUGGGGUUGGGGUUGGGCUGCUGUGUGACGCUGUGUGUUUAGUGGAGUUACAGUAUGUAGAGCUCUGUUCUCACUCACUCUCUCACUCAUUCAUUCAUUCAUUCACUCUGCCAGAGGGAGCCAAGCAUCUACUGGGAGCUCGGAACAUUGUGUCCAGCAGUAGAUAACAGUGACUCUGACUCCUACCCUGAUAAUUACAUCUGCAUUUGUCGAGGGAACCAAAAAAGAGAAGAGCAUACUUGUGGCAACUCAAUAAAGCAAAAAAGAAAAUGACAAUCGGCCGCAACUCCAGGAAGAGCUCGGUACGAAGUUCCAUCCGGGCUCCAAAAUUUCUGGACAAAUCUAGCGGCUUCUACGGUCGCCUGGAUGAGCCGGAGUGUGCCAGGGAGGACGGGCGAAAGAAUGGAGGAGAAAGUGUGGACAACAAGGAGAACGUAACCAACGCAUCUUCAACUGUGGCCAACAAUUCCAAGGCUGAGGAACGAGAAGAAGUUGAGAUGUUUGUGUUCAAUGAAGGCAUGAUGGAAGAUGACGGCGAGACUCUCCUGCACAGGAAGCCUAGCCGGCUCAGCAGCAGGUGGAGGAGAAGCUCCAGGAGGAAGCAGAAGGAGGAAGAGGAUGGUGUGAUGGUGAAGAUUCAGGUGGAGACUGUGAAGAGUUUGGGGGACGAAUGUGAGAAGGUACAGCAAGUAGGAAAGGAGCCUCAGGUUGUCCACUUUCAUGUUCGGGAGGAGGAAGACGACCAAGUUCUGAUCAGAGACAAGAAGCGAGUACGAGAUGAGGAAGGAGAGGAGGAGAGGAGGGCCACGAGGGAGCAGGAGGAGGGCAUGAAGAUGGCAAAGAGGAAGAAUUACAAAAAGGCGUUUCGUCGUGGCUGGGAGGCCUUCAUCACUAACCUCUACAGUGUCACACUCACACCUUUCACCUCCUCCACACCAUCCUCAUCAUCACCAUCAUCGCCAUCGUCCAAGAAGAAGCUGGAGCACAGCGCGGUGCUGGCUGAGUUUCGGUAGAAUUGGAAGAAGACAUGGACAAUAAAAUUAAACAGUUUUAUUAUUUAAACA